UUAGCCCAAAAACGAGCUAUAGCUCGAUCAUAAGGGUCUUUAGGCAAGAUGGAAGGGCCUUCAAAUGCCUCAUCAAUGUAUUCAAGAAUGACCAUAGACUCACAAAUGCACUUGCCAUUGUGAAUUAACACUGGAAUUUUCUUGUGAAUUGGAUUUGAUUGAAGAAGUAAAGGGCUCUUAUUUUGUAAGUCUUCCUCUAUAAAUUCAUAUUUCACUCCCUUAAUUUUUAGAGCCCAUUCAAC
Long non-coding RNA from Solanum stenotomum, 242 nucleotides. RefSeq lists it as uncharacterized. The transcript has 2 exons. The record is from RefSeq and is a predicted model, not a curated record. Lineage: Eukaryota; Viridiplantae; Streptophyta; Magnoliopsida; Solanales; Solanaceae.